This 462-nucleotide ribosomal RNA is filed under the name uncultured bacterium. RNAcentral's name for it is "partial 16S ribosomal RNA". It matches the Rfam family "Bacterial small subunit ribosomal RNA", at positions 28 to 507 of the family's 1533-position model. The record is from RNAcentral.
GACGAACGCUGGCGGCGUGCUUAACACAUGCAAGUCGAGCGGUAAGGCCUUUCGGGGUACACGAGCGGCGAACGGGUGAGUAACACGUGGGUGAUCUGCCCUGCACUUCGGGAUAAGCCUGGGAAACUGGGUCUAAUACCGGAUAUGACCUCCUAUCGCAUGGUGGGUGGUGGAAAGAUUUAUCGGUGCAGGAUGGGCCCGCGGCCUAUCAGCUUGUUGGUGGGGUAAUGGCCUACCAAGGCGACGACGGGUAGCCGACCUGAGAGGGUGACCGGCCACACUGGGACUGAGACAUGGCCCAGACUCCUACGGGAGGCAGCAGUGGGGAAUAUUGCACAAUGGGCGAAAGCCUGAUGCAGCGACGCCGCGUGAGGGAUGACGGCCUUCGGGUUGUAAACCUCUUUCAGCAGGGACGAAGCGCAAGUGACGGUACCUGCAGAAGAAGCACCGGCUAACUACGUG